Molecule: unclassified non-coding RNA, 157 nt
Filed under: uncultured Tetracladium
Lineage: Eukaryota; Fungi; Ascomycota
Description: sequence contains ITS1
Source: RNAcentral
CCGAGUUCAUGCCCUUCGGGGUAGAUCUCCCACCCUUUGUAUACUAUACCUUUGUUGCUUUGGCGGGCCGCCUAGCUACUGGCUUCGGCUGGUAAGUGCCCGCCAGAGGACCUCAAAACCUGAAUGUUAGUGUCGUCUGAGUACUAUAUAAUAGUUA